This 699-nucleotide ribosomal RNA is filed under the name uncultured bacterium. RNAcentral describes it as "bacterial SSU rRNA". It matches the Rfam family "Bacterial small subunit ribosomal RNA", at positions 8 to 753 of the family's 1533-position model. The record is from RNAcentral.
AGAGUUUGAUCCUGGCUCAGAGCGAACGCUGGCGGCAGGCCUAACACAUGCAAGUCGAACGGAUCCUUCGGGAUUAGUGGCGGACGGGUGAGUAACACGUGGGAACGUGCCCUUUGGUUCGGAACAACUCAGGGAAACUUGAGCUAAUACCGGAUGUGCCCUUCGGGGGAAAGAUUUAUCGCCAUUGGAGCGGCCCGCGUCUGAUUAGCUAGUUGGUGGGGUAAAGGCCCACCAAGGCGACGAUCAGUAGCUGGUCUGAGAGGAUGAUCAGCCACAUUGGGACUGAGACACGGCCCAAACUCCUACGGGAGGCAGCAGUGGGGAAUCUUGCGCAAUGGGCGAAAGCCUGACGCAGCCAUGCCGCGUGAAUGAUGAAGGUCUUAGGAUUGUAAAAUUCUUUCACCGGGGACGAUAAUGACGGUACCCGGAGAAGAAGCCCCGGCUAACUUCGUGCCAGCAGCCGCGGUAAUACGAAGGGGGCUAGCGUUGCUCGGAAUUACUGGGCGUAAAGGGAGCGUAGGCGGACUGUUAAGUUAGAGGUGAAAGCCCAGGGCUCAACCUUGGAAUUGCCUUUGAUACUGGCAGUCUUGAGUACGGAGGAGGUAUGUGGAACUCCGAGUGUAGAGGUGAAAUUCGUAGAUAUUCGGAAGAACACCAGUGGCGAAGGCGACAUACUGGUCCGUUACUGACGCUGAGGCU